CUCCCCUCCCUGAAGCUGAUAGCAGCUCAUGCUGAGCACUGCACCGAGCUGUGCAGCCGAUCCCCUCCAGAGAAGGGUAGAUUUCACCGGUGUUUAAUAAUAACAUAAUGAAAGCGAAACUCGGUUCCUGUUGGGGCGGGCAGCCCCGGCUGGAGGAGCGCUCCCAGCUCAGGGCCCACCUGGGCGCGGGUCCGCCGGCAACACCGCGCGCAGCACCUGCAGGCAUGGAGCAGCGUGGCUCCCGGGGCAUCGCCGCGUCAUCUUCCGCACAAAAAUGAGCGUGAGGAGGCAGGAGCGCUGUCGCAAUUCCUCCCUAGUAGGGAUUAGGGAGCAGCCUGUUGCCGGCAGCGCUCGGCGUUAGACGCAGCGAGGCGGGGAGCGGCCUCAAUACCGAGGCCUUCCCCUCCCGGAGGGGGCUGGCUGACCGCCCCGGCCGGGGCGGGCCGGAUCAUCCCACCCCGACGGGCGGUCACCUCAGCAGGAGGAGUCGCCGCCGCCGCUUCGCCUUCUCUCCCGCAGGACCUGACGGCAGUAAACCUCGCCGCGCCGAGCCCGUCGCCAUGCAAGCAGGGAAGGCAGCCGGGAACCGGGAGGGCGACAGGCCCCUACAGCUCACCAUGAAGAGGGGCUACGAGGUGCUCCGCGACCCGCAUCUCAACAAGUGGCCAAAAUGGAUCCCUCAGGAAGAGUAAAAGAAAGGGGAGAUCGGUUCGGUUGAAAGGGAUCCU
RNAcentral lists this long non-coding RNA (728 nucleotides) under Chrysolophus pictus (golden pheasant). Its description in RNAcentral is "lncRNA (ENSCPIG00010009441.1)". Lineage: Eukaryota; Metazoa; Chordata; Aves; Galliformes; Phasianidae. The record is from RNAcentral.